RNAcentral lists this ribosomal RNA (254 nucleotides) under uncultured bacterium. Its description in RNAcentral is "partial 16S ribosomal RNA". It matches the Rfam family "Bacterial small subunit ribosomal RNA", at positions 524 to 777 of the family's 1533-position model. The record is from RNAcentral.
UACAGAGGGUGCUAGCGUUGUUCGGAAUCAUUGGGCGUAAAGGGCGUGUAGGCGGUUUGUUAAGUCAUGUGUGAAAUCCCUCGGCUCAACCGGGGAACGACGCAUGAAACUGGCAAGCUAGAGUACCAAAGAGGGGGGUGGAAUUCCCGGUGUAGCAGUGAAAUGCGUAGAGAUCGGGAGGAACAUCCGUGGCGAAGGCGACUACCUGGACCAGCACUGACACUGAGGCACGAAAGCGUGGGGAGCAAACAGGG